AACUACAUGCCACCCUGAACAAGCCCAAUCCCAUCUGAUCUCGGAAGCUAAGCAGGGUCGGGCCUGAUUAGUACUUGGAUGAGAGACCACCUAGGAAGACCAGGUGCUGUAGGCA
This 115-nucleotide ribosomal RNA is filed under the name Pteropus alecto (black flying fox). The record is from RNAcentral. Lineage: Eukaryota; Metazoa; Chordata; Mammalia; Chiroptera; Pteropodidae.